Molecule: transfer RNA, 73 nt
Filed under: Stegodyphus mimosarum
Lineage: Eukaryota; Metazoa; Arthropoda; Arachnida; Araneae; Eresidae
Rfam family: tRNA
About the family: Transfer RNA (tRNA) molecules are approximately 80 nucleotides in length.
Source: Rfam by way of RNAcentral
ACUUUCGUGGUGUAAUGGUUAGCAUGCUCGACGCGUAACCGAGAGGUCCGUGGUUCAACUCCCGGCAGAGGCG